UUUAAGCGUAGUCAUGAGUUUUUAUGUCCAACUUUGAUCGUCUAUCUUAUUUGAAUUUUUUAUAAUUAAUAUUUUUAUUGUUAUUAGAUGAUAAAAUAUGAAUAGUACUUUAUGCGUGACUUAUGUUUUUAAUUUUUUUUUAAAAAAAUUCAAAUAAAACAAAUGAUUAAUGUUGGCCACAGAAACUCAUGAGCUGCGUUUAAA
Oryza sativa Japonica Group (Japanese rice) is the source of this 204-nucleotide microRNA precursor. It matches the Rfam family "MIR812 microRNA precursor family". NCBI's taxonomy places the organism in Eukaryota, Viridiplantae, Streptophyta, Magnoliopsida, Poales, Poaceae. The record is from Rfam.